UAUGCCGUGGGGGUGGGCUUUGCAGACUCUCACAUGCUCAAGCCCCGCCCAGUGUCCUGCAGCCUUCUGAUGAAGAUGUCCGAUGAAGAUGUAGCCCGGGGCACCGUGUCUGCUUGCCCACGGCCAUGAUGAUAAUGGACUGAACCUCUGAACUGUCUUACACAGACAAGGUGGGGCUCAAACUUGCUCUGUAACUGAAGAUGACACUUAUCUUCUCAUCUGCCUGCCUCAUCUCCCGAGAGCUGGGAUUACAGGGGUCGGUGCUAUCUAUAUCCGCCGCAGGACCCGGGUGCGAGUGGGGGCCCUACAGAGUGGAGGCGGGCAGGAGCGGGGAAUGCGGUCAGGGACAGUGCCCACGUCCUUGGUGGUGGGGCUGGGAGCGGCAUGUGAGUUGGCACUGCAGGAGAUGGAGGUAGGUACUGGAGAGAGCAACAGAUCCCCUUUUGAGCCCGUAUUUUAAAACAAAACAACAGCAAUCCCUCUGCAAAACAGCCAAAAAUACUUGGGGGUACAGCUCAGCCACAGGGUGUGUGGUGGUUUGAAUGAGAAACGGCCCCGCAGUCUCAGGCGUUUGAACACUUGGUCCCCAGUUGGUGACACUGUGUGGAGGGUUAGCUGGUGCUGCCUGGCUCGGGGGAGGUCCGUCACUGGGGGCAGGUUUUGAGAGUAAAGACCCUCUCUCACUUCCAGCUGGCUUUCUCCGAUUCGCUCUUGUGGUUAGCGACAGAAGCUUUCUGCUUCCUGCUCUGGCCGCCAGGUCUGCCCUUCACUGCCAUACUUCACCGUCAUGAUGGACUCUUUUUUUUUUUUUAAAUUCAUCUAUUUUUUUUUUCCCCAU
Molecule: non-coding RNA, 838 nt
Organism: Peromyscus maniculatus bairdii (prairie deer mouse)
Lineage: Eukaryota; Metazoa; Chordata; Mammalia; Rodentia; Cricetidae
Source: RefSeq, a predicted model, not a curated record